UCGCCAGACUCCUACGGGAGGCAGCAGUGGGGAAUAUUGGGCAAUGGACGCAAGUCUGACCCAGCAACGCCGCGUGAAGGAAGAAGGCUUUCGGGUUGUAAACUUCUUUUAAGGGGGAAGAGUAGAAGACGGUACCCCUUGAAUAAGCCACGGCUAACUCCGUGCCAGCAGCCGCGGUAAUACGGAGGAUGCGAGCGUUAUCCGGAUUUAUUGGGUUUAAAGGGUGCGUAGGCGGGCUUUUAAGUCAGCGGUAAAAAUUCGGGGCUCAACCCCGUCCGGCCGUUGAAACUGGGGGCCUUGAGUGGGCGAGAAGAAGGCGGAAUGCGUGGUGUAGCGGUGAAAUGCAUAGAUAUCACGCAGAACCCCGAUUGCGAAGGCAGCCUUCCGGCGCCCUACUGACGCUGAGGCACGAAAGUGCGGGGAUCGAACAGGAUUAGAUACCCCGGUAC
Molecule: ribosomal RNA, 449 nt
Filed under: uncultured bacterium
Lineage: Bacteria
Description: bacterial SSU rRNA
Rfam family: Bacterial small subunit ribosomal RNA
Source: RNAcentral